UGCCCAGCAACUCCUAUCCCUACCUCCUCGUGGUACUGGCCGGGGUACGAGUAACCUUGGGGAAGAUCGGAUAACCAACCCCCGGUGGGAACUUUGGUCGUAUGCUGACAGGGAAGG
Non-coding RNA from Aedes aegypti (yellow fever mosquito), 117 nucleotides. NCBI's taxonomy places the organism in Eukaryota, Metazoa, Arthropoda, Insecta, Diptera, Culicidae. The record is from Rfam.